RNAcentral lists this transfer RNA (83 nucleotides) under Sneathiella chungangensis. Its description in RNAcentral is "tRNA-Arg". The record is from RNAcentral. Lineage: Bacteria; Pseudomonadati; Pseudomonadota; Alphaproteobacteria; Sneathiellales; Sneathiellaceae.
GCACCCGAGUAAGUACGGGAAAACAUAUGACACCUACCCUCCGAAGGCAGAGGUCACACGCUCGAAUCGUGUCGGGUGCGCCA